Meleagris gallopavo (turkey) is the source of this 1808-nucleotide long non-coding RNA. RefSeq lists it as uncharacterized. Lineage: Eukaryota; Metazoa; Chordata; Aves; Galliformes; Phasianidae. The record is from RefSeq and is a predicted model, not a curated record.
UACCCCGCCCCCCUGUCACGGGUGUAGAUUGAUCUCGUUAACUCCGUGACAACUCUUACAUAUUUGUUUUGCUGAGAUGUACCUGUGGUUUGAAGCCAAUCAGUGUAAAAUUAGAUGAUAUUUCUUUACAAGGUGAUAAUUUGCAGACAUGAAUUUACGUUGUUUUGAUAACAGCAUUGUUUUUUUUUUCACUUGUCAUUUAAAAAUGUUAGUUUCCCCAUGUACUUAUGAAAAUAUUAUAAAACUUUUGAGAAAUAUGAACUUUUCCUAAUAAAUUUUCUCAUAUUUUUAAGGUGAAAUAUUGAGGAAAAGAAAAGGGAAAAGAAGAAAAGCUCAGCUCGAUCAUCAGAACAGCACUGCUUUUGCUAGAGAUUCACCAGAACAAGAAAUCAAAACAUCGGCCUUGAACUUAAGAGUGAAGAUGAAAUCCAACUUCAGAUUCAUUGCUUAGUUCUAGCUUUACUAUUUGUCAUGUCAUAACUUUCUAAAUAUUUGUUGAAACUGCUCUUGGGAAUUCUCAUGUUUGUUGCAAAAGACUGGUCAUACUAAUUCCAUUAAGGGAAAACAUUGCCCUAGCUGUAAACAAAAAGCAGCUGGACUGUGCUGAUGAGCUCCAGUGAGAGUGCAGUUUAUGCACGUUUUGUUGUAGGUAGGCAUUUGUGUAUUGUCUGCUUCUCUAGCAAAGUUUUGUUUUAUCUUGGAGCUGGUACUGUCUGCACCAAAAUGCAUACAAAUAAUCUUCCCAUGAGCUCUUGGAAAAGUAAAUGCACCACAAAUAGAAGUAGUUGCAAAAAAUAAGCCUGAAAAUUGGUCUGAGAACUAGUUGAGGACCAAAGAACAGCUGGACUGGGCAAGUCACGGCCACUUAGGCCCUUGCUGGAAUCUGGGAUAUUUUGUUUCCAGAAGACACUUCUUGUCAUUUUGUUCAUGAUUUGCAAAUAGAAUUGCUUUGUUUUUUUUUUUUUUCUUCAGGAAGAAAGAAAAACAAAGCAAAACAAAAGAAAACAAAGCACUAGCAAUCAAAGCAAACAAGUAGCAACGGCAACAAAUAAAACCACAAAGUCUUUCAUAUAUCAUCCAUACUGUACAUUUGAGGACAAAAAUAAUAAGGCCAAUUCAGUCUUCAGAGCAAAGUGAAGCCAGAAAGAUAAUUUUCUUCAUCAUUUUAAAUGAAUCUAUUAGGCUGUCUUCAUUAUAAAUCUUUCUGCAUUGUUCGCAGUGGGAAAUAUGAUGCCAGAGUAACAUGUCUGUCAGAUUUGUUCUGGUUUAGCAGCUUGACAAUCAGGUCUUUAAAUUAAUGUAGGAAUUAGAACAGUCCAAAUUUAUGAAAGAUGCUUUGCUUAUUACAAGUCUACACUUGUGAAACAUAAAUCUUGAUGUAUCUUGGCUUUAUUUAGACAUAUCUAAUUGUUGGAGUCUUGAAUUAGCACAACUCAGAUCUGACUUGCAGUCCUAAAACCUCUAUUGUCUGUAGAAGAGAAGUACAGUUACUCCCCUAACAUGCAUUUCACAGUUAAAUGUGAAAAGAUUGUUCGGAUGAAUCUGUGUAUCUUCAUCUAUGAUGACUAUCCUAAUAAUAUUCUGAAAUGAUGAACGUGUAUAUUUCAGAAUAAAUCCUUUCGGUUUCCCUGAUGUGACUCUUUUUUCUCGGUAUGCUACAUGGUUUUUCCAAGGGGCAUUUCAAUCACCACAUAAAAUGUAGACUGUAAGGAUGUUUGGUUCUGAUUUCUUGCCUAACUGAAAUGCUCUAAUUUAAGCAGUAUGAUUAUUUGUUAGGAAAUAAAACAAACAAAUGAACAAAACAAAAA